Molecule: ribosomal RNA, 691 nt
Filed under: Saitozyma podzolica
Lineage: Eukaryota; Fungi; Basidiomycota; Tremellomycetes; Tremellales; Trimorphomycetaceae
Description: eukaryotic LSU rRNA
Rfam family: Eukaryotic large subunit ribosomal RNA (bases 364-691)
Source: RNAcentral
ACAAACAUGGUGUAAUGAACGUCAUAUAUCAUAACAAAACAAAACUUUCAACAACGGAUCUCUUGGCUCUCGCAUCGAUGAAGAACGCAGCGAAAUGCGAUAAGUAAUGUGAAUUGCAGAAUUCAGUGAAUCAUCGAAUCUUUGAACGCACCUUGCGCCCUCUGGUAUUCCGGAGGGCAUGCCUGUUUGAGUGUCAUGUAGACUCAAUCCCUCGGGUUUCCGAGGAGAUUGGACUUGGGUGUUGCCGCUUCUGCCGGCUCACCUUAAAAGACUUAGCGGGAUAGCACCGUAGUCGGCGUAAUAAGUUUCGUCGGUGAAGGUUGUGAUGACUGCUUACAAUCGCCCUCGGGCAAUUUUUGACUCUGACCUCAAAUCAGGUAGGACUACCCGCUGAACUUAAGCAUAUCAAUAAGCGGAGGAAAAGAAACUAACAAGGAUUCCCUUAGUAGCGGCGAGCGAAGCGGGAAGAGCUCAAAUUUGAAAGCUGGCGUCCUUCGGGCGUCCGCAUUGUAAUCUAUAGAGGCGUUUUCUGUGCUGGACGUGUCCAAGUCCCUUGGAACAGGGUAUCAAAGAGGGUGGCAAUCCCGUACUUGACACGACAACCAGUGCUCUGUGAUACGUCUUCUACGAGUCGAGUUGUUUGGGAAUGCAGCUCAAAAUGGGUGGUGAAUUCCAUCUAAAGCUAAAUAUU